GGCGCGUAGCUAACAACUUCAAGCCACACCACUACCAGCACCAACAAGAAGAAAACAAACAAACAAACAAGCAAGCAAGAUCCACAAAAUCUUAAGGACAAAAAUAACUCUUUUUUUUAAUUAUAUUAUUUAUUUUUAUUUUUAUUUUAUUAGUAUUUUUCUUAUUUUGAAAUUGGGGACUGUCGUGUUGGAAGAGGAGCGAUUUAGUGUUAUCUG
This 216-nucleotide unclassified non-coding RNA is filed under the name Hevea brasiliensis (rubber tree). The record is from RNAcentral. Lineage: Eukaryota; Viridiplantae; Streptophyta; Magnoliopsida; Malpighiales; Euphorbiaceae.